GGGCAGGAGAAGAGUCCGGAAAUGGAAAUGGGGGGAAGAGAAGGGGGUUGUGAGGACCAUGUUGCGAGGGAAUAGGGAAGGGGAGUGAAUCAUUUCCCCUACCACGAUCUUGCGAAGCUUUACCCGGCGCAACAGUGCCUUCCACCUUUACAAAUCCUAUGUAAUUUCACAGGCGCUGCCCCUCAUGCUAUGGGUCAGUUAGUCCUGGUUUCGCCCUUCUUUGGGCUCUGGCUACCCCGGUUUAAAAUCACCUUUAGGAUAGCCAGUUCCUCCCGCCUCCAAGUCUCCUCUGAUUCAUGGGGCUCUGCGGGAACUGUCCUCCAACACUCUGCUGAUGAACUUGAAUCUCAGAGGCUACCCAGUUUGAGGGCCCAGGGCGGACAGAACUGGUGUCUGCCCAAUUCUCAUCUCUCACCAGAUAAGGCAACCAUGCUGAGUAGAACCCAGUCAUCUAUGUGGUAAAAGCCCUUGAGAGUAAGUGUGGCACACUUGUGGCAAGCCUGGAAAGCCUGGAUGAACUGAAAGGCUUCAUUAGUGUCUUCACCUUCCCUAGGCUGAAAAGCAUCCUUUCCCUCUUCAGAAGAUCCCAAAUGUCUUGCGAUCAACCCAGAACUGAAGG
This 619-nucleotide long non-coding RNA is filed under the name Pongo abelii (Sumatran orangutan). RNAcentral's name for it is "lincRNA". Lineage: Eukaryota; Metazoa; Chordata; Mammalia; Primates; Hominidae. The record is from RNAcentral.